UACGAAGGGGGCUAGCGUUGCUCGGAAUCACUGGGCGUAAAGCGCACGUAGGCGGACUCUUAAGUCGGUGGUGAAAUCCUGGAGCUCAACUCCAGAACUGCCUUCGAUACUGAGAGUCUCGAGUCCGGGAGAGGUGAGUGGAACUGCGAGUGUAGAGGUGAAAUUCGUAGAUAUCAAGCGGAACACCGGUGGCGAAGGCGGCCUUCUGGACGAUGACUGACGCUGAAGCGCGAAAGCGUGGGGAGCAAACAGG
RNAcentral lists this ribosomal RNA (253 nucleotides) under uncultured bacterium. Its description in RNAcentral is "partial 16S ribosomal RNA". It matches the Rfam family "Bacterial small subunit ribosomal RNA", at positions 524 to 776 of the family's 1533-position model. The record is from RNAcentral.